This 59-nucleotide transfer RNA is filed under the name Phasianella australis. RNAcentral's name for it is "tRNA-Lys". Lineage: Eukaryota; Metazoa; Mollusca; Gastropoda; Trochida; Phasianellidae. The record is from RNAcentral.
AGGUGGCUGAAAUUUUAAGCAUUAGACUUUUAAUCUAAGGAUGAUAUAUAAGUAUCCCU